Manis pentadactyla (Chinese pangolin) is the source of this 131-nucleotide small nucleolar RNA. The record is from RefSeq and is a predicted model, not a curated record. NCBI's taxonomy places the organism in Eukaryota, Metazoa, Chordata, Mammalia, Pholidota, Manidae.
AAUCAGGAUCAAAGAUGCAGCUGCUUCCUAGUUAAGCAGCCGUCAAAAAAGAGCCGAAAGUGACAGUUUCCCUGGACAGCCACUGUUCUAUUGUCCGUAACUGAUUUAGGACCUUCUGGGAAAACACAGCU